UGGGGAAUAUUGGACAAUGGGGGCAACCCUGAUCCAGCAAUGCCGCGUGUGUGAAGAAGGCCUGCGGGUUGUAAAGCACUUUCAGUAGAGAAGAAAAGCCUAAGGUUAAUAACCUUGAGUCUUGACGUAACCUACAGAAGAAGCACCGGCUAACUCCGUGCCAGCAGCCGCGGUAAUACGGAGGGUGCAAGCGUUGUUCGGAAUUACUGGGCGUAAAGCGCACGUAGGCGGAUUGUUAAGUCAGAGGUGAAAUCCCGGAGCUCAACUUCGGAACUGCGUUUGAAACUGAGGGGCUAGAGUGUGGAAGAGGGGGGUGGAAUUCCAGGUGUAGCAGUGAAAUGCGUAGAGAUCUGGAGGAACACCGAUGGCGAAGGCAGCCCCCUGGGCUAACACUGACGCUCAUGCACGAAAGCGUGGGGAGCAAACAGGAUUAGAUACCCCAGUAGUCCCUGAGCGGGCUGGCAAGGCGCAU
RNAcentral lists this ribosomal RNA (472 nucleotides) under uncultured bacterium. RNAcentral's name for it is "bacterial SSU rRNA". It matches the Rfam family "Bacterial small subunit ribosomal RNA", at positions 355 to 825 of the family's 1533-position model. The record is from RNAcentral.